This 243-nucleotide unclassified non-coding RNA is filed under the name plant metagenome. Its description in RNAcentral is "partial contains small subunit ribosomal RNA, internal transcribed spacer 1, and 5.8S ribosomal RNA". The stretch from base 195 to 243 matches the Rfam family "5.8S ribosomal RNA", at positions 1 to 49 of the family's 154-position model. The record is from RNAcentral.
UUUCCGUAGGUGAACCUGCGGAAGGAUCAUUAUCAUGUAAUUCAGUCCCCUUGGCUGUGUUAUAUAUAUACCCACUCUGUGUACCUUCUCCUGUUGCUUCCGCUGGGUGUGUAAUUCGCCCGGCGGAAGGGUAAAAAUAACCUCUGAGUAUUGAUGAAAUCUCUGUCUGAACCGAAUAGAAAGAAAAAUGUUAAAACUUUCAGCAACGGAUCUCUUGGUUCUCGCAUCGAGGAAGAACGCAGC